Molecule: long non-coding RNA, 1526 nt
Filed under: Eucalyptus grandis
Lineage: Eukaryota; Viridiplantae; Streptophyta; Magnoliopsida; Myrtales; Myrtaceae
Description: long non-coding RNA (EGRA_LNC006040)
Source: RNAcentral
CCGCCUUCCCGAGCCCGGAUGCUCGGCCCGCUUUGAGGAAAGUCGAUCCUCGCGUCGAUCCCGUCGUUUUGAUCCGCUCGGCUCGCUAAUCUGGUGAGUUUAGCUCACUAAAUCUUGAUUAGACGGUUAAUUAUGCCCUAAGUGUGCUUAGUUUAAGUUAAGCAAGUUUAGGUGGAUAUUUUAGUUUAUUUAAUUGUGAUUUGGAUUAAAAGGUUUGUUUAAUUUAAAGUGUGUUUAAUUAAAGGUUAAGAGAGUUUAUUUAAUAAUAAACCUUGAUGGGACAUAAUAGGGUUUUAUUUUUGAAUUAUUUAAUUGAAAUUAUUAAAAUAUUAUUAUUUAAAAAAAAAGGAAAAAUUAUUUUUGAUCCCGAUUGCUCAGAAUUUCGUGCCGAUCGCUGCUAUGCGUUCAGAUUUUGAAAUUGAUGGUUAGAUAUUAUAAAUUGGGUGUGGAUGACGAAAAUAUGGAUAUUAUUAUUUAAUUAAUUUUCGAAAUAAAUUUAAUUAUUUAUUAAAAUUCGAAAAUUUCGUCGGGACCCUAAACUCUCAGAAUUUCGUGCCGAUCGCUGCUGUGUAUUUAGAAUUUGAAUUUGAUGAUUGAUUGUGGCAAAUUGAGUGUGAUUGCGAUAGAUAGGGAUUCUUUAUAAAAUCCAAGUGUCGAAAUUGAUGGGAGGUUGGCCGUGAUGAACCACCUAUUAGAGGUCGUGCCCAGUGAGGCCGUGAUGAACCACCUAUGAGAUGUCGUGCCUAGUGAGGCCGUGAUGAACCACCUAUUAGAGGUCGUGCCCAGUGAGGCCGUGAUGAACCACCUAUGAGAGGUCGUGCCUAAUAGGGCCGUGAUGGACCACCUAUUAGAGGUCGUGCCCAGUGAGGCCUUGAUUAACCACCUAUUAGAGAUCGUGCUCAGUGAGGCCGUGAUGUACCACCUAGGAGAGGUCGUGCCCAGUGAGGCCGUGAUGGGGGCACCUAAUUAAAGGUCGUGCCGAGGGGGGCCGUGAUUGCCACUGGUUGUUAAACCUUCCUAUAGGGCCGUAAUUGAGAGCGAUGAUUGAUUUGCUAGAAUGACAUGUAAUCGGCCAAGUCGAUUGAUCGCUGAGACGAUCCAAGUGGUUGAAUUAUUCUGAUGAUGUGAUUGUGCCAUGGUUGUUUGGCUAUCAUAAUUGCACGUAGUUGAAUUAUAUAAAUUGUGUUAACCUGCAGAUGAAGGCUAAUGCGAGGUAAGUCUUCUGUGUGAUGUGGCUAGGCCACCCAGGGCGUAUUUUCUUUCUAAUAGGGGUUUAGGGGGUUUAACUUGCUGAAACAUCGUCUCAUCCCAGUUGUGGGAUUAAAAUUUCAGGUCCCUGGUGAACGGAGCGACCAGAUAGCUUUGGUUUGCCUUGAGGAGUUGCAGAGGUGAAGUCAUAAGAUUGGAGAAUGUGUCCGACUUGUAGGUCGUAGGACAAUUCCUUUUUAAGAGCCGGUCCUUUGUAGACUUUUAGCCGUAGACUUCUGUUUGUAAUUCUAUUGAAUUAUGAAAGUGUUAUGUUAUGG